RNAcentral lists this transfer RNA (72 nucleotides) under Camelus bactrianus (Bactrian camel). It matches the Rfam family "tRNA". Rfam says of the family: Transfer RNA (tRNA) molecules are approximately 80 nucleotides in length. Lineage: Eukaryota; Metazoa; Chordata; Mammalia; Artiodactyla; Camelidae. RNAcentral also lists the same sequence under 2 other names. The record is from Rfam by way of RNAcentral.
GAAGGUAUAGCUCAGUGGUAGAGUGUGUGCUUAGCAUGCAUGAAGUCCUGGGUUCAGUCCCCAGUACCUCCA